Molecule: transfer RNA, 72 nt
Filed under: Oryzias latipes (Japanese medaka)
Lineage: Eukaryota; Metazoa; Chordata; Actinopteri; Beloniformes; Adrianichthyidae
Rfam family: tRNA
About the family: Transfer RNA (tRNA) molecules are approximately 80 nucleotides in length. Their secondary structure includes four short double-helical elements and three loops (D, anti-codon, and T loops).
Source: Rfam by way of RNAcentral
UACGUAGUGGUGUAGUGGUUAGCCCUCUUGCCUCACAGUGAGAAGGUCCAGGUUUAAAUCCUGGCUGCGUCC